GACGAACGCUGGCGGCGUGCUUAACACAUGCAAGUCGAACGGAAAGGCCCUGCUUUUGUGGGGUGCUCGAGUGGCGAACGGGUGAGUAACACGUGAGUAACCUGCCCUUGACUUUGGGAUAACUUCAGGAAACUGGGGCUAAUACCGGAUAGGAGCUCCUGCUGCAUGGUGGGGGUUGGAAAGUUUCGGCGGUUGGGGAUGGACUCGCGGCUUAUCAGCUUGUUGGUGGGGUAGUGGCUUACCCAGGCUUUGACGGGUAGCCGGCCUGAGAGGGUGACCGGCCACAUUGGGACUGAGAGACGGCCCAGACGCCAACGGGAGGCAGCAGUGGGGAAUAUUGCACAAUGGGCGGAAGCCUGAUGCAGCAACGCCGCGUGCGGGAUGACGGCCUUCGGGUUGUAAACCGCUUUCGCCUGUGACGAAGCGUGAGUGACGGUAAUGGGUAAAGAAGCACCGGCUAACUACGUG
Molecule: ribosomal RNA, 468 nt
Filed under: uncultured bacterium
Lineage: Bacteria
Description: partial 16S ribosomal RNA
Rfam family: Bacterial small subunit ribosomal RNA
Source: RNAcentral